AGAACUAACUCAGAACGCAGUCAUUCGCUUAAUCCCUAACUUUUGCCUAGAUCGCCCUUUCGGGUUUUCAAUCCACCGGGAUACCCAUUUUUGCCUAAGUUUCCUUUUCAGGUUUUCAACUUACCGGGUGUAUAAUCUUUUAGUUUUAGUCCCUAACUUUUGCCCGAACCUUUUUCAUUUUCUUGGUUCGUCGGGAUGCCCAUUUUUGCCUGGAUUAUUCUUUUUACUGUCCAG
Molecule: long non-coding RNA, 234 nt
Filed under: Lathyrus oleraceus (garden pea)
Lineage: Eukaryota; Viridiplantae; Streptophyta; Magnoliopsida; Fabales; Fabaceae
Description: Pisum sativum (pea) long non-coding RNA (PSAT_LNC017568)
Source: RNAcentral